CCUACGGGUGGCAGCAGUGAGGAAUAUUGGUCAAUGGCCGGAAGGCUGAACCAGCCAUGCCGCGUGCAGGUCAGUGCCCUAUGGGCGUUAAACUUCUUUUGUGCGGGAGCAAUAAUGGUCACGUUUGGCCAGACGAGAGUACCGUACGAAUAAGCAUCGGCUAACUCCGUGCCCGCAGCCGCGGUAAUCCGGGGGAUGCAGGCGUUAUCCGGAUUUAAUGGGUUUAAAGGGUUCGUAGGCUGGGAGGUAAGUCAUCGGUGAAAUGCCCCCGCUCAACGGGGUGAAGUGCCAUUGAUACUGCCUUGCUGGAAUGCGGAUGCCGUGGGAGGAAUGUGUGGUGUAGCGGUGAAAUGCAUAGAUAUCACACAGAACACCGAUUGCGAAGGCAUCUCACGAAUCCGCGAUUGACGCUGAUGCACGAAAGCGUGGGUAUCAAACAGGAGUAGAUACCCCUGUAGUC
RNAcentral lists this ribosomal RNA (460 nucleotides) under uncultured bacterium. Its description in RNAcentral is "partial 16S ribosomal RNA". It matches the Rfam family "Bacterial small subunit ribosomal RNA", at positions 338 to 795 of the family's 1533-position model. The record is from RNAcentral.